UACAGGGGGGGCAAGCGUUGUUCGGAAUUACUGGGCGUAAAGGGUUCGUAGGUGGCCACUUAAGUCAGACGUGAAAUCCCUCAGCUUAACUGGGGAACUGCGUCUGAGACUGGCGGGCUUGAGUGCAGGAGAGGAACGCGGAAUUCCAGGUGUAGCGGUGAAAUGCGUAGAUAUCUGGAGGAACACCGGUGGCGAAGGCGGCGUUCUGGACUGUUACUGACACUGAGGAACGAAAGCCAGGGGAGCAAACGGG
RNAcentral lists this ribosomal RNA (253 nucleotides) under uncultured bacterium. RNAcentral's name for it is "partial 16S ribosomal RNA". It matches the Rfam family "Bacterial small subunit ribosomal RNA", at positions 524 to 776 of the family's 1533-position model. The record is from RNAcentral.